GAAAUGCGAUAAGUAAUGUGAAUUGCAGAAUUCAGUGAAUCAUCGAAUCUUUGAACGCACAUUGCGCCCGCCAGCACUCUGGCGGGCAUGCCUGUUCGAGCGUCAUUUCAACCAUCAAGCCCCCGGGCUUGCGUUGGGGACCUGCGGCUGCCCGCAGGCCCUGAAAACCAGUGGCGGGCUCGCUGUCACCCCGAGCGUAGUAGUAUUAUCUCGCUUAGGGCGUGGCGGUGGGCACUUGCCGUAAAACAUUUUCCAAAGGUUGACCUCGGAUCAGGUAGGGACACCCGCUGAACUUAA
This 297-nucleotide unclassified non-coding RNA is filed under the name uncultured Sordariales. RNAcentral's name for it is "sequence contains ITS1". The stretch from base 1 to 105 matches the Rfam family "5.8S ribosomal RNA", at positions 50 to 154 of the family's 154-position model. Lineage: Eukaryota; Fungi; Ascomycota; Sordariomycetes; Sordariales. The record is from RNAcentral.